GACGAACGCUGGCGGCGUGCCUAAUACAUGCAAGUAGAACGCACAGUUUAUACCGUAGCUUGCUACACCAUAGACUGUGAGUUGCGAACGGGUGAGUAACGCGUAGGUAACCUGCCUGGUAGCAGGUGUUAACUAUUGGAAACGAUAGCUAAUACCGCAUUAUAUUAAUUAUUGCAUGUUAAUUGAUUGAAAUGUACAAUUGCACCACUACCAGAUGUACCUGCGUUGUAUUAGCUAGUAGGUGAGGUAACGGCUCACCUAGGCGACGAUACAUAGCCGACCUGAGAGGGUGAUCGGCCACACUGGGACUGAGACACGGCCCAGACUCCUACGGGAGGCAGCAGUAGGGAAUCUUCGGCAAUGGACGAAAGUCUGACCGAGCAACGCCGCGUGAGUGAAGAAGGGUUUCGGAUCGUAAAGCUCUGUUGGAAGAGAAGAACGGGUGUGAGAGUGGAAAGUUCACAAUGUGACGGUAUCUUACCAGAAAGGGACGGCUAACUACGUG
RNAcentral lists this ribosomal RNA (505 nucleotides) under uncultured bacterium. RNAcentral's name for it is "partial 16S ribosomal RNA". It matches the Rfam family "Bacterial small subunit ribosomal RNA", at positions 28 to 507 of the family's 1533-position model. The record is from RNAcentral.